This 466-nucleotide ribosomal RNA is filed under the name Vreelandella stevensii. RNAcentral describes it as "partial 16S ribosomal RNA". It matches the Rfam family "Bacterial small subunit ribosomal RNA", at positions 338 to 795 of the family's 1533-position model. The record is from RNAcentral. Lineage: Bacteria; Pseudomonadati; Pseudomonadota; Gammaproteobacteria; Oceanospirillales; Halomonadaceae.
CCUACGGGCGGCAGCAGUGGGGAAUAUUGGACAAUGGGGGGAACCCUGAUCCAGCCAUGCCGCGUGUGUGAAGAAGGCCCUCGGGUUGUAAAGCACUUUCAGUGAGGAAGAACGCCUGGUGGUUAAUACCCAUCAGGAAAGACAUCACUCACAGAAGAAGCACCGGCUAACUCCGUGCCAGCAGCCGCGGUAAUACGGAGGGUGCGAGCGUUAAUCGGAAUUACUGGGCGUAAAGCGCGCGUAGGUGGCUUGAUAAGCCGGGUUGUGAAAGCCCCGGGCUCAACCUGGGAACGGCAUCCGGAACUGUCAAGCUAGAGUGCAGGAGAGGAAGGUAGAAUUCCCGGUGUAGCGGUGAAAUGCGUAGAGAUCGGGAGGAAUACCAGUGGCGAAGGCGGCCUUCUGGACUGACACUGACACUGAGGUGCGAAAGCGUGGGUAGCAAACAGGAUUAGAUACCCCUGUAGUC